CGCGAAACCAACAAUCACAGCACUCAUUCGUGGGUACUUCUCCACAAAAAAAAGCAAAGUUGUUUUUGUAAACUCUGACUGAACUGAUACCCCCUGACUUUCGAGACCCUGAGCACUUGGGCGGUGAAAGUCUACGUGGAUACUGUACGGUAACGUAAGUGAACUCCUCGACGCAGGCAGGUGCUCCGGGAAGCGUUGUCUUUGCUUUUUAACAGCCUUUUCUUUUAUACCCUGGAAUCAGUUUAGCUGGAGAUAGGGUUAGCUGGCUGGUAGAGCACCUUGGUUUCCAAGGUGUCCGGUGCGCUCCUGACUGCCCUUGAAAAGAGGAGGGAAAGUUGUUAUUUGCACCCCUGGCCGUACCAAUAACCGCAUCAGGUCUCCAAGGUUAGUAGCCUCU
Ribosomal RNA from Neospora caninum, 397 nucleotides. It matches the Rfam family "Eukaryotic large subunit ribosomal RNA", at positions 1498 to 1884 of the family's 3401-position model. The record is from Rfam. NCBI's taxonomy places the organism in Eukaryota, Apicomplexa, Conoidasida, Eucoccidiorida, Sarcocystidae.